AGAAAAAUCAAAACAAAUAUUAAAACGAUUCACAUGCAGUUGCAGGUAUGAUUAUACGAGGAUAUCCAAUCAACGGACGAGCGUUGACAAGCACUAGCUCGUACGCCGUAAAAAUAUUUAACCAAACUUUCGUCUCCGUCGGCCGAAGCUAUAUGAAGAGCCGUCUGGCCUUGGCCCUAUAUUUUCAGAAUGGAUGAUUGCUAAAUGAAUGGCCAUGUCACCGGACUUAGUCUUAAACUUUAGCUGUUCCACUGCUUGAGUUGACAGCAGUUCCCGGCACAUCGACUGGUUACCA
Long non-coding RNA from Myzus persicae (green peach aphid), 295 nucleotides. RefSeq lists it as uncharacterized. The transcript is spliced from 3 exons. The record is from RefSeq and is a predicted model, not a curated record. NCBI's taxonomy places the organism in Eukaryota, Metazoa, Arthropoda, Insecta, Hemiptera, Aphididae.